RNAcentral lists this small nuclear RNA (181 nucleotides) under Echinops telfairi (small Madagascar hedgehog). RNAcentral describes it as "U1 spliceosomal RNA (ENSETEG00000026324.1)". It matches the Rfam family "U1 spliceosomal RNA". Rfam says of the family: U1 is a small nuclear RNA (snRNA) component of the spliceosome (involved in pre-mRNA splicing). The record is from RNAcentral. Lineage: Eukaryota; Metazoa; Chordata; Mammalia; Afrosoricida; Tenrecidae.
AUGUUUAUCUGGCGGGGGUGAGAUCAUGAUCAUGGAAUUGGUUUCCCGGGCAGUAGGGAUGGCAGGACGAGGCGUAUCCAUUGCCCUCCGGAUGUGCUGACCCCUGCUAAUUCAGCCAAUGGGGGGAGACUCGACUGCAUAUUUCGUGAGAAGGGGGGAGUGGUGUACCCGCAUCUCCCCC